ACAGUUGGAAACGACUGCUAAUACCGCAUAAUGUCUACGGACCAAAGGGGGCUUCGGCUCUCGCCUUUAGAUUGGCCCAAGUGGGAUUAGCUAGUUGGUGAGGUAAUGGCUCACCAAGGCGACGAUCCCUAGCUGGUUUGAGAGGAUGAUCAGCCACACUGGGACUGAGACACGGCCCAGACUCCUACGGGAGGCAGCAGUGGGGAAUAUUGCACAAUGGGCGCAAGCCUGAUGCAGCCAUGCCGCGUGUGUGAAGAAGGCCUUCGGGUUGUAAAGCACUUUCAGUCAGGAGGAAAGGUUAGUAGUUAAUACCUGCUAGCUGUGACGUUACUGACAGAAGAAGCACCGGCUAACUCCGUGCCAGCAGCCGCGGUAAUACGGAGGGUGCGAGCGUUAAUCGGAAUUACUGGGCGUAAAGCGUACGCAGGCGGUUUGUUAAGCGAGAUGUGAAAGCCCCGGGCUCAACCUGGGAACUGCAUUUCGAACUGGCAAACUAGAGUGUGAUAGAGGGUGGUAGAAUUUCAGGUGUAGCGGUGAAAUGCGUAGAGAUCUGAAGGAAUACCGAUGGCGAAGGCAGCCACCUGGGUCAACACUGACGCUCAUGUACGAAAGCGUGGGGAGCAAACGGGAUUAGAUACCCCGGUAGUCCACGCCGUAAACGAUGUCUACUAGAAGCUCGGAGCCUCGGUUCUGUUUUUCAAAGCUAACGCAUUAAGUAGACCGCCUGGGGAGUACGGCCGCAAGGUUAAAACUCAAAUGAAUUGACGGGGGCCCGCACAAGCGGUGGAGCAUGUGGUUUAAUUCGAUGCAACGCGGAAACCUUACCUACACUUGACAUACAGAGAACUUACCAGAGAUGGUUUGGUGCCUUCGGGAACUCUGAUACAGGUGCUGCAUGCCUGUCGUCAGCUCGUGUUGUGAGAUGUUGGGUUAAGUCCCGCAACAAGCCCAACCCCUAUCCUUAAUUGCUAGCAGGUAAUGCUGAGAACUCUAAGGAAACUGCCGGUGAUAAACCG
Molecule: ribosomal RNA, 1016 nt
Filed under: Pseudoalteromonas sp. F43
Lineage: Bacteria; Pseudomonadati; Pseudomonadota; Gammaproteobacteria; Alteromonadales; Pseudoalteromonadaceae
Description: bacterial SSU rRNA
Rfam family: Bacterial small subunit ribosomal RNA
Source: RNAcentral